Molecule: ribosomal RNA, 253 nt
Filed under: uncultured bacterium
Lineage: Bacteria
Description: partial 16S ribosomal RNA
Rfam family: Bacterial small subunit ribosomal RNA
Source: RNAcentral
UACAGAGGUCUCAAGCGUUGUUCGGAUUCAUUGGGCGUAAAGGGCGCGUAGGCGGCGCGGUAAGUCACCUGUGAAAUCUCCCGGCUCAACUGGGAGCUUGCAGGCGAAACUGCCGUGCUCGAGUAUGGGAGAGGUGCGUGGAAUUCCUGGUGUAGCGGUGAAAUGCGCAGAUAUCAGGAAGAACACCCGUGGCGAAAGCGGCUCUCUGGAACGGUACUGACGCUGAGACGCGAAAGCGUGGGGAGCGAACAGG